UUCUUCUUUCCAUUCUUUUCCUUUCAUCGUCAAUUGUAGCACGGUUAAGCAAUUCAGCUAAUAAACACUACUUCUGCUUGAUGCGUACAGGUGCCGAGGUAUUGUUUAUUGGCUGAGUGCUAUACCUCCAGUAUUCAUCG
Non-coding RNA from Brugia malayi, 140 nucleotides. NCBI's taxonomy places the organism in Eukaryota, Metazoa, Nematoda, Chromadorea, Rhabditida, Onchocercidae. The record is from RefSeq and is a predicted model, not a curated record.